UACGGGGGGGGCAAGCGUUGUUCGGAAUUACUGGGCGUAAAGGGCCAGUAGGCGGCCAACUAAGUCCGACGUGAAAUCCCCAGGCUUAACCUGGGAACUGCGUCGGAUACUGGAUGGCUUGAAUUCGGGAGAGGGAUGCAGAAUUCCAGGUGUAGCGGUGAAAUGCGUAGAUAUCGUUUGGAACGCCAAUGGUGAAAACAGGUUGCUGGGAGUGUGCUGACGCUGAGACACGAAAGCCAGGGGAGCAAACGGG
RNAcentral lists this ribosomal RNA (253 nucleotides) under uncultured bacterium. RNAcentral's name for it is "partial 16S ribosomal RNA". It matches the Rfam family "Bacterial small subunit ribosomal RNA", at positions 524 to 776 of the family's 1533-position model. The record is from RNAcentral.